Lethenteron reissneri (Far Eastern brook lamprey) is the source of this 97-nucleotide small nucleolar RNA. RefSeq annotates it as small nucleolar RNA U83B. The record is from RefSeq and is a predicted model, not a curated record. Lineage: Eukaryota; Metazoa; Chordata; Hyperoartia; Petromyzontiformes; Petromyzontidae.
GGGUCCCAGUGAUGAGAACGUGGAAUUGGGCCCCAUUUUGGGGUCCCGAUCACUCCGUGGGGAAUCAAUUCCAUGCUGCCUUCCUUCUGAGGGGCCC